Molecule: ribosomal RNA, 301 nt
Filed under: uncultured bacterium
Lineage: Bacteria
Description: partial 16S ribosomal RNA
Rfam family: Bacterial small subunit ribosomal RNA
Source: RNAcentral
CAGUAGCCGCGGGAAUACGAGGGGGGCAAGCGCUGUUCGGAAUUAUUGGGCGUAAAGGGCGCGUAGGCGGUUUGACAAGUCUGAUGUGAAAUCUCUGGGCUCAACCCAGAGUCUGCAUCGGAAACUGUCGAGCUUGAGUAUGGGAGAGGUGAGUGGAAUUUCCGGUGUAGCGGUGAAAUGCGUAGAUAUCGGAAGGAACACCUGUGGCGAAAGCGGCUCACUGGACCAUUACUGACGCUGAGGCGCGAAAGCUAGGGGAGCAAACAGGAUUAGAUACCCCUGUAGUCCCUGUCUCUUAUAC